RNAcentral lists this ribosomal RNA (254 nucleotides) under uncultured bacterium. RNAcentral describes it as "partial 16S ribosomal RNA". It matches the Rfam family "Bacterial small subunit ribosomal RNA", at positions 524 to 776 of the family's 1533-position model. The record is from RNAcentral.
UACGUAGGGGGCAAGCGUUGUUCGGAAUGACUGGGCGUAAAGGGUGCGUAGGCGGUGUAGCAAGUUAGAAGUGAAAUACCUAGAGCUUAACUCAGGUGCUGCUUCUAAAACUGCUAUACUUGAGUGCAGUAGAGGAAAGUGGAAUUCCAUGUGUAGCGGUGAAAUGCGUAGAUAUAUGGAGGAACACCGGUGGCGAAAGCGGCUCUCUGGCCUGUAACUGACACUGAGGCUCGAAAGCGUGGGGAGCAAACAGG